UGCUUAACACAUGCAAGUCGAGCGGAAAGGCCACUUCGGUGGUACUCGAGCGGCGAACGGGUGAGUAACACGUGAGUAAUCUGCCCCUGGCUUCGGGAUAGCCACCGGAAACGGUGAUUAAUACCGGAUAUGACAGACCCUCGCAUGGGGGUGUGUGGAAAGUUUUUCGGCCAGGGAUGUGCUCGCGGCCUAUCAGCUUGAUGGUGAGGUAAUGGCUCACCAUGGCUUCGACGGGUAGCCGGCCUGAGAGGGUGACCGGCCACACUGGGACUGAGACACGGCCCAGACUCCUACGGGAGGCAGCAGUGGGGAAUAUUGGACAAUGGGCGGAAGCCUGAUCCAGCAACGCCGCGUGAGGGAUGACGGCCUUCGGGUUGUAAACCUCUUUCAGUACCGACGAAGCGCAAGUGACGGUAGGUACAGAAGAAGCACCGGCCAACUACGUGCCAGCAGCCGCGGUAAUACGUAGGGUGCGAGCGUUGUCCGGAAUUAUUGGGCGUAAAGGGCUCGUAGGCGGUUUGUCGCGUCGGGAGUGAAAACGCCGUGCUUAACACGGCGCUUGCUUCCGAUACGGGCAGACUAGAGGUAUUCAGGGGAGAACGGAAUUCCUGGUGUAGCGGUGAAAUGCGCAGAUAUCAGGAGGAACACCGGUGGCGAAGGCGGGUCUCUGGGAAUGACCUGACGCUGAGGAGCGAAGUGUGGGGAGCGAACAGGAUUA
This 718-nucleotide ribosomal RNA is filed under the name uncultured Actinomycetes bacterium. RNAcentral describes it as "bacterial SSU rRNA". It matches the Rfam family "Bacterial small subunit ribosomal RNA", at positions 45 to 780 of the family's 1533-position model. The record is from RNAcentral. Lineage: Bacteria; Bacillati; Actinomycetota; Actinomycetes.